This 441-nucleotide ribosomal RNA is filed under the name uncultured bacterium. RNAcentral describes it as "bacterial SSU rRNA". It matches the Rfam family "Bacterial small subunit ribosomal RNA", at positions 338 to 795 of the family's 1533-position model. The record is from RNAcentral.
CCUACGGGGGGCAGCAGUGGGGAAUAUUGCACAAUGGGGGAAACCCUGAUGCAGCAACGCCGCGUGAGCGAUGAAGGCCUUCGGGUCGUAAAGCUCUGUCCUAAGGGAAGAAUACUGACGGUACCUUAGGAGGAAGCCCCGGCUAACUACGUGCCAGCAGCCGCGGUAACACGUAGGUGGCGAGCGUUGUCCGGAAUUACUGGGUGUAAAGGGCGUGUAGGCGGGGUAGCAAGUCAGAUGUGAAAUUCCAGGGCUCAACCCUGGAGCUGCAUCUGAAACUGCUGCUCUUGAGUGUCGGAGAGGAAAGUGGAAUUCCUAGUGUAGCGGUGAAAUGCGUAGAGAUUAGGAGGAACACCAGUGGCGAAGGCGGCUUUCUGGACGAUAACUGACGCUGAGGCGCGAAAGCGUGGGGAGCGAACAGGAUUAGAUACCCCUGUAGUC